CCGAGUUAUACAACUCAUCAACCCAAUGUGAACGUACCUAAACUGUUGCUUCGGCGGGAUCUGACCGGGCGCUGUAGCAGCCCGGGCCAAGGCGCCCCGCCGGAGGACCAACCUAAACUCUUGUAUGUCUGGAUAAUAUGAGUUUUCUGAGCUACUAGCGAGAGUCGAAAAUGAAUUA
This 178-nucleotide unclassified non-coding RNA is filed under the name soil metagenome. RNAcentral's name for it is "partial internal transcribed spacer 1". The record is from RNAcentral.